AGAAUCAACGCUGGCGGCGUGCCUAACACAUGCAAGUCGCACGAGAAAGGGGCUUCGGCCCUGAGUAAAGUGGCGCACGGGUGAGUAACACGUGACUAACCUACCCUCGAGUGGGGAAUAACCUAGAGAAAUCUGGGCUAAUACCGCAUAACACUUACGAGUCAAAGCAGCAAUGCGCUUGAGGAGGGGGUCGCGGCAGAUUAGUUAGUUGGCAGGGUAAUGGCCUACCAAGACGAUGAUCUGUA
Molecule: ribosomal RNA, 245 nt
Filed under: uncultured bacterium
Lineage: Bacteria
Description: partial small subunit ribosomal RNA
Rfam family: Bacterial small subunit ribosomal RNA
Source: RNAcentral